GGGAAUCUGCAGAGGAGAGUCCAGACAGAUGAACAGUUCCAGGAGAUUGUGGAUCCCAGCAGUGGAGUGGAGCAGCGGGGAGAGCACACAUCCCUGAGGUGUUUCCAGUGCUGACUGACCAGGUGCUGGAUGUAAUUUCACCCAGCCUCACCUGCUGCUUCCUGUCUAUCAGGAAGUUUGUAAUCCACUGACAGGUGGAGGCGGGCACAGUGAGCUGGUAACGUCCGAAUAAAAGAAGGCAGAAACAACCAGAGCAUCUUCACUACCUCCAGCUACAACAACAACAACGUUGCAUAGCCAUCAUGACUCCCUGUGAGGUAGACUAUGCCCUGCAAACGCUGAUGUCGAAAAUAAAGGCGAGGGAGUUGGAGUCGCAACGGGCGAUGAACGAACACGUUCUGACAAACAGACUCUUGAAACGUCAGCUUCAGGAACUUCAGAACCGACUAGAGUCAAAAGAGAGCCAGUUAGCUGAUGCCAACGAGACUAUCCGGGCUCUUCGGAGUGUGACUCAGAUCAUCGCUGGUCUGCAGGAUGAGAUCAGGGCCCUGCGCACACAGCUGCUGACGCCCCAAGUUCACAACCAUCGAUCAAUCACCACACAGAUCCGGAACCCAGCAGCCAUCUCCGGUCCAAUCAGAAUUCAGGCCCCUGAUGACCUGUCCCGUCGCACUCUCUCUCACCCCACUGAAGCUGGCCCCACAUGUUCAGACUACAUUUCCCAGAAUUCCUCCAAAGAGUGCACCCUUCUGAAAAUCAUCUCGGAAUGCGGAAGGACAACAGAAGUUGCAGUUCCACGUGUAAAAGAGGAGGAGCAGGAAGUUGAAAUGGAAGGAGGGGAUGAGGACGGAGAGAGUGAGGGAGGGGUCGCCGAGGAAACGGUGAAGUUGGAGAACGACGGCGAGUGGGACGGGUGUUUCGAAUAUAACCAUGCAGCGCACGGCAGUGGAGAACUACCAGACAAGGAGUCUUCGUAUACCUUCAGCAAUCAUGACUUGGCUGCCAUUGAAGCGGCAACAUCCGCGUCUUCUUCGCGUUCUUCCGAUUCUGCUGCAGUCUUGAAUGCGUCUAACUCUCGGAAAAGGCAGGUGCCGGACACCCCUCUAGAUAGCCAGUCAGCAAGUGUGAUGGUCCACACUGCGCUCUGUGAGAAGCUCGGGGGUGACAGGAUAUUUCAUGAGUAUAAUAAGAUGAAAUGUCUCUCAGAUGGAACAAGGAGGAAGAUGGUCAACAUACUAGUGGCAGACAUGAUGGAAAAUCAUGGAAGGCCCCCACCAGCAAGUAUUCGAGUGUCUUAUGCGCUUGGAAUAGUAACCUUAUUCCCUUUCUUGAAGGAUCUGAACUCCAAGAAUGGUUAUG
Clupea harengus (Atlantic herring) is the source of this 1359-nucleotide long non-coding RNA. NCBI's taxonomy places the organism in Eukaryota, Metazoa, Chordata, Actinopteri, Clupeiformes, Clupeidae. The record is from Ensembl.